CAAUAGCGUAUAUUAAAGUUGUUGCAGUUAAAAAGCUCGUAGUUGAAGUUCUGGUUGUUAAGGCUUGCGUCACUCAGACAAAAGUACUUGCAAUCAUCCGUUUGUAAACAUAUUUAGGCUCUUCACCGAGCCAGUAUGUGAGCAAACAUUUUACCUUGAGAAAAACAGAGUGUUCCAGGCAGGUUUGUCCGGAAUGCAUUAGCAUGGAAUAAUAGAAUAUGACUGAGGUCUAUUUAUUGGUUUAGGGCCACAGUAAUGAUUAAUAGGAACAGUCGGGGCAUUAGUACUUGACAGUCAGAGGUGAAAUUCUUGGAUUUGUCAAAGACUAACUGAUGCGAAAGCGUUUGUCAAGGAUGUUUUCAUUAA
RNAcentral lists this ribosomal RNA (366 nucleotides) under uncultured eukaryote. Its description in RNAcentral is "partial 18S ribosomal RNA". It matches the Rfam family "Eukaryotic small subunit ribosomal RNA", at positions 592 to 976 of the family's 1831-position model. The record is from RNAcentral.